GAUGAACGCUGGCGGCGUGCCUAAUACAUGCCAGUCGAGCGCACGGACGAGAAGCUUGCUUCUCUGAUGUUAGCGGCGGACGGGUGAGUAACACGUGGAUAACCUACCUAUAAGACUGGGAUAACUUCGGGAAACCGGAGCUAAUACCGGCUAAUAUUUUGAACCGCUUUGUUCAACAGUGAAAGACGGUCUUGCUGUCACUCAUAUAUGGAUCCGCGCUGCAUUAGCUAGUUGGUAAGGUAACGGCUUACCAAGGCAACGAUGCAUAGCCGACCUGAGAGGGUGAUCGGCCACACUGGAACUGAGACACGGUCCAGACUCCUACGGGAGGCAGCAGUAGGGAAUCUUCCGCAAUGGGCGAAAGCCUGACGGAGCAACGCCGCGUGAGUGAUGAAGGUCUUCGGAUCGUAAAACUCUGUUAUUAGGGAAGAACAUAUGUGUAAGUAACUGUGCACAUCUUGACGGUACCUAAUCAGAAAGCCACGGCUAACUACGUG
RNAcentral lists this ribosomal RNA (497 nucleotides) under uncultured bacterium. Its description in RNAcentral is "partial 16S ribosomal RNA". It matches the Rfam family "Bacterial small subunit ribosomal RNA", at positions 28 to 507 of the family's 1533-position model. The record is from RNAcentral.